Molecule: ribosomal RNA, 868 nt
Filed under: Helvella fistulosa
Lineage: Eukaryota; Fungi; Ascomycota; Pezizomycetes; Pezizales; Helvellaceae
Description: partial large subunit ribosomal RNA
Rfam family: Eukaryotic large subunit ribosomal RNA
Source: RNAcentral
CCAACAGGGAUUGCCCCAGUAACGGCGAGUGAAGCGGCAGGAGCUCAAAUUUGAAAUCUGGGGUCCCCGACCUCCGAGUUGUAAUUUGGAGAGGCAUCUUCGGGGGGGAGCGCCGGCCCAUGUUCCUUGGAACAGGACGUCACAGAGGGUGAGAAUCCCGUGCCAGGCCGGCUCCCUCCUCCCGGGUGAAGCGCCUUCGACGAGUCGAGUUGUUUGGGAAUGCAGCUCCAAGUGGGUGGUAAGUUUCAUCUAAAGCUAAAUACCGGCGGGAGACCGAUAGCGCACAAGUAGAGUGAUCGAAAGAUGAAAAGCACUUUGAAAAUAGAGUCAAAAAGUACGUGAAAUUGUUGAAAGGGAAGCGCUUGAGACCAGACUCAGGCCCGGGCAAACACCGCGCCCCCAGGGGCCGUGCAAUUGCCUGGGGCUGGGCCAGCAUCAGUCGGCGUGGCGGGACAAAGGCGCGGGGAAUGUGGCUCCCCUCGGGGAGUGUUACCAGCCCCGCGCUCAAUGCCGCCGACGCCGACUGAGGACCGCGCCUCGGCUAGGAUGCUGGCUUAAUGGCCUUCAGCGACCCGUCUUGAAACACGGACCAAGGAGUCUAACAUCUAUGCGAGUGUUUGGGUGCCAAACCCUUGCGCGGAAUGAAAGUGAGCGGAGGUGGGAACCCCCCAGCGGGGCGCACCAUCGACCGAUCCUGAUGUCUUCGGAUGGAUUUGAGUAGGAGCAUAGCUGUUGGGACCCGAAAGAUGGUGAACUAUGCCUGAAUAGGGUGAAGCCAGAGGAAACUCUGGUGGAGGCUCGCAGCGGUUCUGACGUGCAAAUCGAUCGUCAAAUUUGGGUAUAGGGGCGAAAGACUAAUCGAACCAUC